GGGUUGUGAGGUUAAGUGACUAAGCGUACACGGUGGAUGCCCUGGCAGUCAGAGGCGAUGAAGGACGUGCUAAUCUGCGAUAAGCGUCGGUAAGGUGAUAUGAACCGUUAUAACCGGCGAUUUCCGAAUGGGGAAACCCAGUGUGUUUCGACACACUAUCAUUAACUGAAUCCAUAGGUUAAUGAGGCGAACCGGGGGAACUGAAACAUCUAAGUACCCCGAGGAAAAGAAAUCAACCGAGAUUCCCCCAGUAGCGGCGAGCGAACGGGGAGCAGCCCAGAGCCUGAAUCAGUGUGUGUGUUAGUGGAAGCGUCUGGAAAGGCGCGCGAUACAGGGUGACAGCCCCGUACACAAAAAUGCACAUACUGUGAGCUCGAUGAGUAGGGCGGGACACGUGGUAUCCUGUCUGAAUAUGGGGGGACCAUCCUCCAAGGCUAAAUACUCCUGACUGACCGAUAGUGAACCAGUACCGUGAGGGAAAGGCGAAAAGAACCCCGGCGAGGGGAGUGAAAAAGAACCUGAAACCGUGUACGUACAAGCAGUGGGAGCACGCUUAGGCGUGUGACUGCGUACCUUUUGUAUAAUGGGUCAGCGACUUAUAUUCUGUAGCAAGGUUAACCGAAUAGGGGAGCCGAAGGGAAACCGAGUCUUAACUGGGCGUUAAGUUGCAGGGUAUAGACCCGAAACCCGGUGAUCUAGCCAUGGGCAGGUUGAAGGUUGGGUAACACUAACUGGAGGACCGAACCGACUAAUGUUGAAAAAUUAGCGGAUGACUUGUGGCUGGGGGUGAAAGGCCAAUCAAACCGGGAGAUAGCUGGUUCUCCCCGAAAGCUAUUUAGGUAGCGCCUCGUGAAUUCAUCUCCGGGGGUAGAGCACUGUUUCGGCAAGGGGGUCAUCCCGACUUACCAACCCGAUGCAAACUGCGAAUACCGGAGAAUGUUAUCACGGGAGACACACGGCGGGUGCUAACGUCCGUCGUGAAGAGGGAAACAACCCAGACCGCCAGCUAAGGUCCCAAAGUCAUGGUUAAGUGGGAAACGAUGUGGGAAGGCCCAGACAGCCAGGAUGUUGGCUUAGAAGCAGCCAUCAUUUAAAGAAAGCGUAAUAGCUCACUGGUCGAGUCGGCCUGCGCGGAAGAUGUAACGGGGCUAAACCAUGCACCGAAGCUGCGGCAGCGACGCUGAUGCGUUGUUGGGUAGGGGAGCGUUCUGUAAGCCUGUGAAGGUGUGCUGUGAGGCAUGCUGGAGGUAUCAGAAGUGCGAAUG
Molecule: ribosomal RNA, 1265 nt
Filed under: Escherichia coli
Lineage: Bacteria; Pseudomonadati; Pseudomonadota; Gammaproteobacteria; Enterobacterales; Enterobacteriaceae
Description: partial 23S ribosomal RNA
Rfam family: Bacterial large subunit ribosomal RNA
Source: RNAcentral